This 564-nucleotide ribosomal RNA is filed under the name uncultured bacterium. RNAcentral's name for it is "bacterial SSU rRNA". It matches the Rfam family "Bacterial small subunit ribosomal RNA", at positions 338 to 916 of the family's 1533-position model. The record is from RNAcentral.
CCUACGGGAGGCAGCAGUAGGGAAUCUUGCGCAAUGGGCGAAAGCCUGACGCAGCAACGCCGCGUGCGGGACGAAGGCCCUCGGGUUGUAAACCGCUUUCAGUAGGAACGAAACUGACGGUACCUGCAGAAGAAGGUGCGGCCAACUACGUGCCAGCAGCCGCGGUGACACGUAGGCACCAAGCGUUGUCCGGAUUUAUUGGGCGUAAAGAGCUCGUAGGCGGUUCAGUAAGUCGGGUGUGAAAACUCUGGGCUUAACCCAGAGACGCCACCCGAUACUGCUGUGACUAGAGUGCGGUAGGGGAGUGGGGAAUUCCUGGUGUAGCGGUGAAAUGCGCAGAUAUCAGGAGGAACACCGGUGGCGAAGGCGCCACUCUGGGCCGUAACUGACGCUGAGGAGCGAAAGCGUGGGUAGCAAACAGGAUUAGAUACCCUGGUAGUCCACGCCGUAAACGUUGGGCACUAGGUGUGGGCUCUAACCAACGGAGUCCGCGCCGUCGCUAACGCAUUAAGUGCCCCGCCUGGGGAGUACGGCCGCAAGGCUAAAACUCAAAGGAAUUGACGG